CUGCACUCCGCCAUCUCCCAGGAGCCGUGUCCUACCUAAGCCCAGUGGGCAUGUGAAGCAGAGGGCAGCCCUUGAAUGCGCGGCGGCUGAGCUACCGCGGGUGGGCCGUGCAGCAGGGCGCAGCGAGGCGGACAUCCAAACAGCGGAACUCAGACGCUGACUCCGAGCGCACCCCGGGCCUUCCCAUUUCAUACACCCUCGAGGAUGAGACCCAAGCACCUCCAAGGAAUAGCACCCGAGGUCUUCAGGACACCGACCGGUAGCCAUGGCCAGAUGCCCGGCCAACCCCUUCAGCGUGGCCACGCCCUGGAUAUUCGACCUCCCCUGAGGCCCCACCCCCUGAUAUCAGGCCACGCCCUCCGAGGGGACCGGUGGCAAACUCCAGCCCUCGCUCUAGGGCCCGCCCUUUGCGGCUUUGUCCCUGCCCACUGGGUCCUCACAGUACCUCCACCCCAGAGGCCCAGCAUCCCCUCCCGUUCUGCAGACACUUGUCCAGCGUCCCGCUGAGCUCGGCAGUGUGGCUAGUUUGUGUGGCCCUGCCCCUGGUGCCCAGCCAGGGUGGUCUGCAUGGAACUUCUUUCCCGGAGUUCCGGCCUCAGCUCCGAUGUCCACCCUUGUCCCCAGGUGGACACAGCACCGCCCAGCAUUUGGUGCAACUCCACCCUUCUGCAGAACGGGCCCCUCCCUGGGAAGGCAUGGCUUGCAAUAACAUCCCUCUGUACCUUUUCUGGCUUCC
Molecule: long non-coding RNA, 736 nt
Filed under: Homo sapiens (human)
Lineage: Eukaryota; Metazoa; Chordata; Mammalia; Primates; Hominidae
Description: non-protein coding LINC01869:31
Source: RNAcentral